UGAGGUAUAGCUCAGUGGUAGAGCACAUGCUUAGCAUGAACAGGGUCCUGGGUUCAAUCCUCAGUACCUCCA
This 72-nucleotide transfer RNA is filed under the name Camelus bactrianus (Bactrian camel). It matches the Rfam family "tRNA". From Rfam's summary of the family: Transfer RNA (tRNA) molecules are approximately 80 nucleotides in length. Their secondary structure includes four short double-helical elements and three loops (D, anti-codon, and T loops). Lineage: Eukaryota; Metazoa; Chordata; Mammalia; Artiodactyla; Camelidae. The record is from Rfam by way of RNAcentral. RNAcentral also lists the same sequence under 3 other names.